CUGGAAAAUUAGAAAAUAAUAAGAGAAACAGAUUUACAUUUAUACUGUGUCUUAGUUUGCAUGGAUUCCAUAACAAAAAUACCAUAGACUGAGUGUCCUGGACAAUGUAAACUUAUUUUCUCAUAAAUCUGGAAAUUAGAAGCUCCAGAUGAAGGACUGGUGGGAUUGGUUUCUGGUGAAGGCUCUCUUGACUUAAAUAUAUAUGGGGAACUGACAAUACUAGUUGGGAAAAAUUAAGGAGGAGUUAAAAAAAACCUUCUUUGCCAACAUCCUCAAAUCACUGGAAAUCACCAUGUGCUUUGAGUAUGUGCUAAGUCAUUCAUUUUCAAAGUUUUAUGAUGCUCCCGGCUUUAGGAAGCUUAUUGUAUUUCAUCUAGAGUAGUGUUGGUAGAGGAGAUAAAGGGAGAGAAUGGGCAGUAAUUAUUUCUAUUUAUCUAUGAAAAAGUGAUCAGAACAAGGUCACUCAAUUUAGUAGUAAAGCUGGAACUGUAACCAUAAUUUGCUAAUUCCUUGCUGUAGAUGCUUUCCUUGGGCUCUGUAUCAACAGUGCAAAGUGCCUCCAAGAGAUGUGGACCAUGAGGUGAAUUUUUACAGGAUAAGGAAGGGCACUAAUAUAUCCAGGUAACCCAUUUCUCUAGGCUAUGAUGUUUGGGGUAUAGUGCCAAGAAC
RNAcentral lists this long non-coding RNA (669 nucleotides) under Marmota monax (woodchuck). The record is from RNAcentral. Lineage: Eukaryota; Metazoa; Chordata; Mammalia; Rodentia; Sciuridae.